CGUAGGUGAACCUGCGGAGGGAUCAUUACACAAAUAUGAAGGCGGGCUGGAACCUCUCGGGGUUACAGCCUUGCUGAAUUAUUCACCCUUGUCUUUUGCGUACUUCUUGUUUCCUUGGUGGGUUCGCCCACCACUAGGACAAACAUAAACCUUUUGUAAUUGCAAUCAGCGUCAGUAACAAAUUAAUAAUUACAACUUUCAACAACGGAUCUCUUGGUUCUGGCAUCGAUGAAGAACGCAGCGAAAUGCGAUAAGUAGUGUGAAUUGCAGAAUUCAGUGAAUCAUCGAAUCUUUGAACGCACAUUGCGCCCUUUGGUAUUCCAAAGGGCAUGCCUGUUCGAGCGUCAUUUGUACCCUCAAGCUUUGCUUGGUGUUGGGCGUCUUGUCUCUAGCUUUGCUGGAGACUCGCCUUAAAGUAAUUGGCAGCCGGCCUACUGGUUUCGGAGCGCAGCACAAGUCGCACUCUCUAUCAGCAAAGGUCUAGCAUCCAUUAAGCCUUUUUUUCAACUUUUGACCUCGGAUCAGGUAGGGAUACCCGCUGAACUUAAGCAUAUCAAUAAGCG
RNAcentral lists this ribosomal RNA (563 nucleotides) under Alternaria alternata. Its description in RNAcentral is "eukaryotic LSU rRNA". The stretch from base 194 to 347 matches the Rfam family "5.8S ribosomal RNA". The record is from RNAcentral. Lineage: Eukaryota; Fungi; Ascomycota; Dothideomycetes; Pleosporales; Pleosporaceae.